UACAGAGGUCCCAAGCGUUAUCCGGAAUUACUGGGCGUAAAGCGCACGCAGGCGGUUCGCCAAGUUUGGAGUGACAGUUGUCGGCUCAACCGACAAAGGACUUCAAAAACUGGUGAACUUGAGGACGAGAGAGGAACAUGGAACUCCAGGUGUAGUAGUGAAAUGCGUAGAUAUCUGGAAGAACACCAAUGGCAAAGGCAAUGUUCUGGCUCGUUUCUGACGCUCAGGUGCGAAAGCCAGGGGAGCGAACGGG
Molecule: ribosomal RNA, 253 nt
Filed under: uncultured bacterium
Lineage: Bacteria
Description: partial 16S ribosomal RNA
Rfam family: Bacterial small subunit ribosomal RNA
Source: RNAcentral